UACAUGGGAGCGCCAAAUCCUGUGGAGACAGCGAAUAACCUUUUCCCUUGAUUUUGGAAUAAGGCAUUGAUUUGUCAUGCUGUUUUGUACAACCGAGAGCUCUCCCAGUGGUGCGCUACAAGCUUGAAAGGAGGCAAAGAGACAGCUACAUAGAGAAAAGGAGAAACGUUAAGGGUCUUCCCAUCAGAAGCACACCGGCUGAAAUGCUUCUCAGCUACUUUUAUUUUUUUUUCACCCAUCUACCUUUCGACCAAAGCAGAUUCCAGAAACAGCACAAAGCCACGGGUUCCCUCCUGUGAUGAGAGGCUCAACCUAGUGCAGCUUGAAUA
Long non-coding RNA from Cyprinus carpio carpio, 329 nucleotides. NCBI's taxonomy places the organism in Eukaryota, Metazoa, Chordata, Actinopteri, Cypriniformes, Cyprinidae. The record is from Ensembl.